CAAUAGCGUAUAUUAAAGCUGUUGCGGUUAAAAAGCUCGUAGUUGGAUUUCUGUCAAGUACAACUGGUCCGCCCUCCGGGUGAGCACAUAGUUUGGUCUUGGCAUCUUGCUGGAAAUUGUUGCUGCACUUGGCUGUGUGGCGCAGUGUUCAGCACUUUCACUUUGAGGAAAUUGGAGUGUUUCAAGCAGGCACAUGCCUUUGGACACAGUAGCAUGGAAUAAUUAGAUUGGGCUUUUGCUCCAAUUUGUCGGUUUCUGGAGCUGAGGUGAGUAUUAAUGGGGAUUGUUGGGGGCAUCCGAAUUUAGCCGUCAGAGGUGAAAUUCUUGGAUCUGCUAAAGACGGACAACUGCGAAAGCGUUUGCCCAGGAUGUUUUCAUUGA
This 381-nucleotide ribosomal RNA is filed under the name uncultured eukaryote. RNAcentral's name for it is "partial 18S ribosomal RNA". It matches the Rfam family "Eukaryotic small subunit ribosomal RNA", at positions 592 to 976 of the family's 1831-position model. The record is from RNAcentral.